This 254-nucleotide ribosomal RNA is filed under the name uncultured bacterium. RNAcentral describes it as "partial 16S ribosomal RNA". It matches the Rfam family "Bacterial small subunit ribosomal RNA", at positions 524 to 776 of the family's 1533-position model. The record is from RNAcentral.
UACGUAGGGCGCGAGCGUUGUCCGGAAUUAUUGGGCGUAAAGAGCUCGUAGGUGGUUUGUUGCGUCUGCCGUGAAAACCCGAGGCUUAACCUCGUGGCUUGCGGUGGAUACGGGCAGACUUGAGGUAGGUAGGGGAGAAUGGAAUUCCCGGUGUAGCGGUGAAAUGCGCAGAUAUCGGGAGGAACACCGGUGGCGAAGGCGGUUCUCUGGGCCUUACCUGACGCUGAGGAGCGAAAGCGUGGGGAGCGAACAGG